Molecule: ribosomal RNA, 1098 nt
Filed under: uncultured phototrophic eukaryote
Lineage: Eukaryota
Description: bacterial SSU rRNA
Rfam family: Bacterial small subunit ribosomal RNA
Source: RNAcentral
ACAUGCAAGUCGAACGAAAUAUUUAGCACUUGUGUUAAAUAAUUUAGUGGCGAACGGGUGAGUAACACGUAAGAACUUACCCCUAGACGAGGUACAACAGUUGGAAACGACUGCUAAUACCUCAUAUUACCGGAAGGUGAAAGAAGCAAUUCGUCUAGGGCGAGGCUUGCGUCUGAUUAGCUUGUUGGUGAGGUAAAGGCUUACCAAGGCGACGAUCAGUAGUUGGUCUUAGAGGAUGAUCAGCCACAUUGGGACUGAGACACGGCCCAAACUUUUACGGGAGGCAGCAGUAAGGAAUUUUCCGCAAUGGGCGCAAGCCUGACGGAGCAAUACCGCGUGAAGGAUGACGGCCCAUGGGUUGUAAACUUCUUUUCUUGGAGAAGAAUUCUGACGGUAUCCAAGGAAUAAGCAUCGGCUAACUCCGUGCCAGCAGCCGCGGUAAGACGGGGGAUGCAAGCGUUAUUCGGAAUUAUUGGGCGUAAAGCGUCUGUAGGUGGUAAGGAAAGUGUAAUGUUAAAGAUCAGGGCUCAACCCUGGGAAAGCAUUGCAAACUAUCUUACUUGAGUUCGGUAGGGGCAGAGAGAAUUCCCAGUGUAGCGGUGAAAUGCGUAGAUAUUGGGAGGAAGACCGGUGGCGAAGGCGUUCUGCUGGGCCGUAACUGACACUCAGAGACGAAAGCUAAGGUAGCAAAUAGGAUUAGAUACCCUAGUAGUCUUAGCUGUAAACGAUGCACACUAUGUUUUGCAAUUUGCAGAGCAAUAGCUAACGCGUUAAGUGUGCCGCCUGGGGAGUACAUUCGCAAGGAUGAAACUCAAAGGAAUUGACGGGGACCCGCACAAGCGGUGGAGCAUGUGGUUUAAUUCGAUGCAACGCGAAGAACCUUACCAAGAAUUGACAUGCUGCGAACGUUUACGAAGUAAAAGUCUAUUACCUAAGUUAAUAGCGCAGACACAGGUGGUGCAUGGUUGUCGUCAGCUCGUGCCGUGAGGUGUUAGUAAGUCCUGCACGAGCGCAACCCUUGCUUUAGUAUAUUCUAGAGAGACUGCCGGUGAUAACCGAAGAAGGUGGAGGAUGACGUCAAAUCAGCAUGCCCCUUAC